RNAcentral lists this ribosomal RNA (200 nucleotides) under uncultured bacterium. RNAcentral's name for it is "partial 16S ribosomal RNA". It matches the Rfam family "Bacterial small subunit ribosomal RNA", at positions 36 to 229 of the family's 1533-position model. The record is from RNAcentral.
AUUGAACGACUGGCGGAAUGCUUUACACAUGCAAGUCGAACGGCAGCACGGACUUCGGUCUGGUGGCGAGUGGCGAACGGGUGAGUAAUAUAUCGGAACGUAUCCAAUAAUGGGGGAUAACUAAUCGAAAGGUUGGCUAAUACCGCAUACGCCCUCAGGGGGAAAGCUAGGGACCUUCGGGCCUGGCGUUAAUGGAGCGG